UUGGGCACUCUAAGUUGACUGCCGGUGACAAACCGGAGGAAGGUGGGGAUGACGUCAAAUCAUCAUGCCCCUUAUGAUUUGGGCUACACACGUGCUACAAUGGACAAUACAAAGGGCAGCGAAACCGCGAGGUCAAGCAAAUCCCAUAAAGUUGUUCUCAGUUCGGAUUGUAGUCUGCAACUCGACUACAUGAAGCUGGAAUCGCUAGUAAUCGUAGAUCAGCAUGCUACGGUGAAUACGUUCCCGGGUCUUGUACACACCGCCCGUCACACCACGAGAGUUUGUAACACCCGAAGCCGGUGGAGUAACCUUUUAGGAGCUAGCCGUCGAAGG
Molecule: ribosomal RNA, 333 nt
Filed under: Staphylococcus aureus
Lineage: Bacteria; Bacillati; Bacillota; Bacilli; Caryophanales; Staphylococcaceae
Description: bacterial SSU rRNA
Rfam family: Bacterial small subunit ribosomal RNA
Source: RNAcentral